AGGCUUAACACAUGCAAGUCGAGGGGCAUCAGGAAGAAAGCUUGCUUUCUUUGCUGGCGACCGGCGCACGGGUGAGUAACACGUAUCCAACCUGCCCUUUACUCGGGGAUAGCCUUUCGAAAGAAAGAUUAAUACCCGAUGGCAUAAUGAUUCCGCAUGGUUUCAUUAUUAAAGGAUUCCGGUAAAGGAUGGGGAUGCGUUCCAUUAGGUUGUUGGUGAGGUAACGGCUCACCAAGCCUUCGAUGGAUAGGGGUUCUGAGAGGAAGGUCCCCCACAUUGGAACUGAGACACGGUCCAAACUCCUACGGGAGGCAGCAGUGAGGAAUAUUGGUCAAUGGGCGCUAGCCUGAACCAGCCAAGUAGCGUGAAGGAUGAAGGCUCUAUGGGUCGUAAACUUCUUUUAUAUAAGAAUAAAGUGCAGUAUGUAUACUGUUUUGUAUGUAUUAUAUGAAUAAGGAUCGGCUAACUCCGUGCCAGCAGCCGCGGUAAUACGGAGGAUCCGAGCGUUAUCCGGAUUUAUUGGGUUUAAAGGGAGCGUAGGUGGACUGGUAAGUCAGUUGUGAAAGUUUGCGGCUCAACCGUAAAAUUGCAGUUGAUACUGUCAGUCUUGAGUACAGUAGAGGUGGGCGGAAUUCGUGGUGUAGCGGUGAAAUGCUUAGAUAUCACGAAGAACUCCGAUUGCGAAGGCAGCUCACUGGACUGCAACUGACACUGAUGCUCGAAAGUGUGGGUAUCAAACAGGAUUAGAUACCCUGGUAGUCCACACAGUAAACGAUGAAUACUCGCUGUUUGCGAUAUACAGUAAGCGGCCAAGCGAAAGCAUUAAGUAUUCCACCUGGGGAGUACGCCGGCAACGGUGAAACUCAAAGGAAUUGACGGGGGCCCGCACAAGCGGAGGAACAUGUGGUUUAAUUCGAUGAUACGCGAGGAACCUUACCCGGGCUUAAAUUGCAGUGGAAUGAUGUGGAAACAUGUCAGUGAGCAAUCACCGCUGUGAAGGUGCUGCAUGGUUGUCGUCAGCUCGUGCCGUGAGGUGUCGGCUUAAGUGCCAUAACGAGCGCAACCCUUAUCUUUAGUUACUAACAGGUUAUGCUGAGGACUCUAGAGAGACUGCCGUCGUAAGAUGUGAGGAAGGUGGGGAUGACGUCAAAUCAGCACGGCCCUUACGUCCGGGGCUACACACGUGUUACAAUGGGGGGUACAGAAGGCAGCUAGCGGGUGACCGUAUGCUAAUCCCAAAAUCCUCUCUCAGUUCGGAUCGAAGUCUGCAACCCGACUUCGUGAAGCUGGAUUCGCUAGUAAUCGCGCAUCAGCCACGGCGCGGUGAAUACGUUCCCGGGCCUUGUACACACCGCCCGUCAAGCCAUGGGAGCCGGGGGUACCUGAAGUACGUAACCGCAAGGAUCGUCCUAGGGUAAAACUGGUGACUGGGGCU
This 1435-nucleotide ribosomal RNA is filed under the name uncultured organism. Its description in RNAcentral is "SSU rRNA". It matches the Rfam family "Bacterial small subunit ribosomal RNA". The record is from RNAcentral.